CGAGAUUUGUGUCUGUGAGACGCGCGAGUGAUCAUCAGGAAAAAGGGAAUAUAAAUGCGAUAAAGCGACAAGAAACACUAAUAUUCAAGCGGGUGGGUGGUGUUACAGACUCUCAUGCAGUCCAGAGAUUUCACUUGCAGCUGCUGUGCACAGAGACGACCGAAGAUACUGAUCUGAAUGGGAAGGAUGCAAAGUGAGUGCAGUGAGGACAGGAAAGGCAGGGGACAAAAUGUAGCAAACAGCCCAGACU
Plectropomus leopardus (leopard coralgrouper) is the source of this 250-nucleotide long non-coding RNA. RefSeq lists it as uncharacterized. NCBI's taxonomy places the organism in Eukaryota, Metazoa, Chordata, Actinopteri, Perciformes, Serranidae. The record is from RefSeq and is a predicted model, not a curated record.